Molecule: ribosomal RNA, 435 nt
Filed under: uncultured bacterium
Lineage: Bacteria
Description: bacterial SSU rRNA
Rfam family: Bacterial small subunit ribosomal RNA
Source: RNAcentral
UCGAGGAUCUUCGGCAAUGGGGGCAACCCUGACCGAGCGAUGCCGCGUGUGCGACGAAGGCCUUCGGGUUGUAAAGCACUGUCGAGGGGGAGAAAACCCCGCAAGGGGCUGAUCUAUCCCUGGAGGAAGCUCGGGCUAAGUUCGUGCCAGCAGCCGCGGUAAGACGAACCGAGCGAACGUUGUUCGGAAUCACUGGGCUUAAAGGGCGCGUAGGCGGGCUGCCGCGUCCGGGGUGAAAGCCUCCCGCUCAACGGGAGAACGGCCUCGGAUACGGGCGGCCUCGAGGGGGGUAGGGGCGUGCGGAACUGUGGGUGGAGCGGUGAAAUGCGUUGAUAUCCACAGGAACUCCGGUGGCGAAGGCGGCACGCUGGACCCCAUCUGACGCUGAGGCGCGAAAGCCAGGGGAGCGAACGGGAUUAGAUACCCCCGUAGUCC